Molecule: ribosomal RNA, 644 nt
Filed under: uncultured bacterium
Lineage: Bacteria
Description: bacterial SSU rRNA
Rfam family: Bacterial small subunit ribosomal RNA
Source: RNAcentral
CGCGGCCUAUCAGCUUGUUGGUGGGGUAGUGGCUUACCAAGGCUUUGACGGGUAGCCGGCCUGAGAGGGUGACCGGCCACAUUGGGACUGAGAUACGGCCCAGACUCCUACGGGAGGCAGCAGUGGGGAAUAUUGCACAAUGGGCGGAAGCCUGAUGCAUCAACGCCCCGUGCGGGAUGACGGCCUUCGGGUUGUAAACCGCUUUCUCCUGUGACGAAACGUGAGUGACGGUAAUGGGUAAAGAAGCACCAGCUAACUACGUGCCAACAGCCGCGGUGAUACCUAGGGUGCGAGCGUUGUCCGGAUUUAUUGGGCGUAAAGGGCUCGAAUGUGGUUGAUCGCGUCGGAAGUGUAAUCUUGGGGCUUAACCCUGAGCGUGCUUUCGAUACGGGUUGACUUGAGGAAGGUAGACUGAGAAUGGAAUUCCUGGUGGAGCGGUGGAAUGCUCCCAUAUCAAGAGGAACACCUGUGGCUAACGCGGUUCUCUGGGCCUUUCCUGACGCUUAGGAGCGAAAGCUUGGAGAGCGAACAGGCUUAGAUACCCUGGUAGUCCACACUGUAUACGGUGGGUACUAGGUGUGGGGUCCAUUCCACGGGUUCCGUGCCGUAGCUAACGCUUUAAGUACCCCGCCUGGGGAGUACGG